Molecule: long non-coding RNA, 883 nt
Filed under: Numida meleagris (helmeted guineafowl)
Lineage: Eukaryota; Metazoa; Chordata; Aves; Galliformes; Numididae
Description: lncRNA (ENSNMEG00000020012.1)
Source: RNAcentral
ACUUAUUACUGAUCUCACAGGAGACAGUUUGUUUAUGAAGCAAUUAACUUUAUGCAAAUCAGUGAGCUAGUACGUCAUGUGCAGUGGCUUUUGGAGGGAGUAUAACUGCUUACUUUUGCAUAUGCUCGCUUCCACCGGGCAGUUUGUCUUUUGGGAAGAAGUGGAGAUUGGACAUGAUUUAAAUUUCUGCUUUGUCCAAUGCACUAUAGGAAGAAACUCUCUCUGAGUAUGGAAGAGGAUGGUGCCACGGUGGCACAAAAACCAGCAGUGCGCAUUUGUACUCCAUGUGCAAUGACUGUUCUGCUGUGCAGCCAUUGCAUAGAAGUUUGUGAAUGAAAUCAGAGCUGGGGAAAGCAGCACCCAGUGUGUACAAAUGCCUUUACUGAAGAUGAGAUACGAACAUUCAGAAAUAUUCAUGAGUCUCUUCUAUCCUGAAUCUUCUCAUAGUGGCUCUCCAGUAUUUCUAGGGAAAAAAAGAAUCCAGAAGGUUUCAGAAGAAGAGACAGUGCCGGGAGGAUUAGCUGGGGCGAGAAGAGAGCAGAGGGCUUCUCCCUGGCUGCACAGAGGCCUCUGGUCAUGCUCCACAUUAAACUUCCAGUAAGAAACUGCCCUUGUAACUGGGUGUUGGUCACCUCCAGACACUGUAUAGAAAAUGGAGACUAAGUGUGUAGCCCAGCACCAGCCAUGCUGGUUCCUUGGAGUGAUAGCUCUGGUCAGCACCUGUGGCCACCUGCAUGGGUGUUGUGGUUUAAUCCAGCAGGUGGCUCAGUACCACCCAGUCAUUCACUCACUGCCCCCCUUCCCAGUGGGAUGAGGGAGAGGAUCAAAAUAACAAAGUGGAACUCAUGGUUUGAGAUAGUUCUAUCUACUAAGGUAGAGAAGA